Zootoca vivipara (common lizard) is the source of this 8673-nucleotide non-coding RNA. The record is from RefSeq and is a predicted model, not a curated record. NCBI's taxonomy places the organism in Eukaryota, Metazoa, Chordata, Lepidosauria, Squamata, Lacertidae.
GACAUGAAACAGGCCCAGACCAAUAUACUCUGCUGCCUGAGGCAAAGGACAAGAUGGCGCCUUUCUCUGCUCCCUGUAAAGGGGCUGAACAGACAGGCAAUUGAAUCCCACUUCACCCCUAGUGGCAGCCUGGCUUGGGGUGGGAGGCAGACAUCUCUGUUCUCCAGCAGAGCAAGGCCUGGGGGCUGAGGAGAAAUUCCACAGGACUUGUUUUUCUGUGUGCCUUUCUACAAUGUUUGCUCCUUUCUGCAAUGCUGUACCAUGUCAGUACCAAAAGGGCAUUUGGCAGUUACACUAGUUGACCAGGAAAGCAUUUGUGACUAAUGCCCUCUAAAUGAACGCCAAGCAAAAAACUAUGUAUAGCUUAUGCAGUUUGCAGUCCCAAAUGUAACAUUCGUCCAGCUGAGGUCCAGCUCAGAGGCUUUUCUGCUGGUUCCCUCACUGCAAGAAGCGAAGUUACAGGGAACCAGGCAGAGAGCAUUCUUGGUGGUGGCUCCCUCCCUUCAGAUGCCAAGGAGGAAAAGAACUACACAACUUUUUGAAGACAUCUGAAGCUUCUACCAAAUGUGCCAGCGGAUGAAGCACCUAUCGCCCCACUUGGUUUCCCUCCCGUAUACAGUGGAACAGUCUCGCCUUCCUCUGUGGCCAGCAUGGAAAUGCAAGUGGGAAAGAAGAGGUAAGGUGGAUCUCUUUGUUUCUCUUUGGGUGCCCUUAAAAGAUGAUUGGACAAACUCAUGGAGGAUAAAGCUGUCAAUGGCUACUGCACUGAAGCAGGAAGGAGGAUUAUAGGUGGAGAGACUUCUCUUGCUUGAAGGCUUCCCAUGGGCAUCUGCUUAGACACUGAGAAAACUGGAUGCUGGAGUAGAUGGCCAUUGGCCUGAUCCAGGACUCUUUCAUUCUUAAGUUCCUCUGCCUUUCCCUUCUGACUGGAGGAAGGGGCUUGCCUUCCUCUAUGGUCAGCAUGGAAAUCAAGCGGGCUGGUGAAGAAAGGACCAAGUGAAGUGUAGCUCCUCUACAAGUCUGUUCACUUUUCUGUGCACGAUUCCUUGUUUCCUGUGGCAUCCAGGCAAGUCCACAUCACAGUGUAGCUGAAUGUGAGGUUUGCAAUGGGGAGGGUGUUUUGGAGAAGAGAAGGGGGAGGGGGGUACUGUCCCUUCCUUGCCGGAAGUUUCCACACAGAAAUUCAUUGUAGUAGCAGUUCUUCCUCCCAUGCCAGAUCUAGAUUUACCUUGCAAUUGUGGGUCUGGAUUCCCUCGUGGAGGAAAGCUGCUCAGACAGAAAUUGUAGUGUGAGGAGGGGAACAGCCACUUAGAGAAGGAUACCUCCUCAGUUGCACUGUGGGGUGCUUUACAGCAAAGGUAACGGCUGCUCCACCAACCUCAGGCUGCCUGCCUUCUUCUACAUCCAACCCAGGUGGUGGCCCUGCCUGUUGGCUUCCUCCUGCUUAUUCUCAGUGUUGCCCUCAGUAGGGAGGAGGUUGGGGACAAAACUAGACUUAGUUGACUCUGUCGGUCAUUUACUCUGACUUUUGCCUACUCUUGACUUCUCUGCCUUCCCUCAGCUGAGGGUGACAUUUCUACAUGGGCAACCUUCUGGGGCGACAUACCAGUGGAGGGUGGAGCAAUGGCACCCGGUGGGUGGAGCAAUGUGAGAACAGCGCAAGCAGGAAGCAAAAGGGGGCAAGACCUCAACCACGGGCAAUUUAUAUAGCCCAAGCCAUGCCCCCAGACCAACCGCAUUGGUGGGUCCAAGGGAUGAUGCGGCUCAGGACUCUAGUGGCGCCGGGGCUACCCCACCUUGUGCGCGUGGGUCGGGCUUGUUCCCAGCCCGCAAGGUUAUCUCCCGGGAACGGAAAAUGGCUUUCUCAGAGUUAAGAACAGUUUCCAGCCACGGAAAAGCACCUGAGAAAGAUGUUUGGAGCAAGACUAGUGGGAGCUGCAAAGCUAAAAAAGCUGCAAGUCCAGAGCCUGUGGUGCCCCACCCCCGUUGCAUCAAUAUAACAGGGAGGGAGAUGGGAGGGGCCCUCUGUUUUGCUAGGAAUAUGUAGCACAAGUUUCUCUUUCACUGACUUAACCUGCAUUUAUAGUACAGUACAGCUUUCUUAGUGAAUAUGUAUAUGUUCUUAAUUUUGAAAAUCAUCUAUCAGUUUGUAUACCUGAGAGAGAAGCAAAAACUUAUACAGUGGUACCUCUACUUACGAAUGACUCGACUUACGAAUUUUUCUACUUACAAAUGGAGCUCCGUCCGCCAUCUUGGAUGCGGUUUAGAUAGGAUUUUUUCUACUUACGAAUUUUUAGAUAGGGUUGCUUCAACUUAUGAAUUUUUUCUCCCAAUGCAUUCCUAUGGGAUUCAACUUACAAAUUUUUCCGACUUACAAAUGUGCGUUCGGAACGCAUUAAAUUCGUAAGUAGAGGUACCACUGUACUCUUGACAAAAUAAAAUGGAGUUUUGAUAUUUAUUUAUUUAUGUUACUGUUAUCUUUUUCAGUUGGAGAAAGUAAUCCAUAAUAAUAAUAAUAAUAAUAAUAAUAAUAAUAUACCCCACCCAUCUGACUGGGUUUCCUUAACCACAAAAAAAGUCUAUUGCAGUUUCUAUUUUCCUAUCAGUUUGCAAAAUUCUGCCGACUUCUGAGGGGAGGAAGAGGCCCUUGUGUUCGUUCCCCUGCCUGCUGAGAGGCAGCUCCUGGAAGUGACAAGAGCAAAGCCUCGAGAUACAGCCAAGCAGGCUCACUGUUAAUCACCCCUUAAUGCCUGGCUCUGGUUCAUGUGAUCCUAACAAGCAUUUGAAUGCUCCCUUGGGCUGAUCUGCAUGUUCAUCCUCUGCCGGGGGAGGAACACUGCCCUUUCUCUGCCACAUUGUUGAAUUCCUGUCAGGAUGUAAACUAAGGGCUUAUUUAGAGAUAUAUGGGAUUUACCCAGCAGUGUCGGGAUGCCAGAGGGACUGCGCCAGCCUAUUGGCUGGAAAUGAAGGUGUAUUCACCGAGCACGUAUAUAGGGCCAACUGCAGAUCCUAUUGAAGUCCGUGGCACAAUUCCCACUGCCUUUAAUUGGAUUUAGAUCAAGUUCUUUGCGAGCUCCCAUAUUAAAGCUGAUCUCUAAAUGCUUUUUCUUAAUGAACAGAAUUUAUUCAGAAGCUCUUCUCAAGGUUUAAGAUUACCAGCAAACAACCUUCCAAGUAAACUGAAUGGUUUAUUUUAAAGAAGAAAAUAUUCUCUUUCAUCUUCCAUUCAGGAUGUGAGUUGGUUUGCAACAUUACUCAUCCUGGUUCUCUUGAGUGAUUCUUGGGCCUGAAUGGAGAAAAAAGUGUGGUUUCAGGGAGCCAAUCUCAAAAUACAAUGAAACUGUUCCUGGACUUCAGAGUUUGAAUGCUGAUAUAGUACAAAGUAUAUAGUACAAAGAAAGCUGGUUAAGUGUAGAUAACACCUGGUAUGAAGGAAGACCUAAGCUAGAUGUCUCCCUGAUAGCUACAUUUCUAUGUGCAGAGAAUUGUGGGUAUGCAGUUGUCCCUGCACUCAUAAUUAGUCUUCCACAUGUUCUGCUGUUAGUGUAGACUCAUCCUCAAACAACAACACCAACUCCCAACAACUGCUUUCCCAAAGACCAAUACAGAACCAGGUGUCUCUCCCUUCAAAUCCUCCUUUAAACCAAUUUCCCCCAUGAAUACUUUAUGAGAAACACAUACCUGAGUCUUUAUUCACAAUAAAUUCUACAUAUAUGCAACUGUAUUGACUCAGUGAUAAUGAUGAUGCUUAUUAAUAGACAUUAAUGUGUUCUAGCUCCAAGUCUUGUCAGGCAGCCAAGUUCCCACAACAGUUCUGUAUGUGUAUCCAGCUGCAAAAACGACUUAGGAUUUGAAAAGCCAUUGCGUUGAAGAGCGCUUUCUAUUUGUUAUCCUGUUCCAUCGGUGUCAGGUAUUUGCCCAUUCUGUUUCCAUGAUCAGUUGAUGGUACGUAUUAUGGUAUGUGAUCGAGUGAUCAGUACAAUCAUUCUACAAAUGCAUGUACUAAUAUGGGUAGCAUUGCUUCUACUCUUAGAUGCUGUCAAGGGAAAACAUGGGGGGAAUCACCUGAAUACACACUGCCAUGAAUACAUCAUAUUAUUUUGUUCUACCAACAGUAAUUGUCACCAUGUGUUUGAUUUUUGUGUGUGCCUGUGUGUGCUCACAUAUAAUAGAUAACCAAACUAUGAUCAAAUUUUAAUAUUUUUGUCCUGGCUUAUUGAUGCUCCUCAGCAUAUGGUACUCAAAGUAUUCCACUUCAGAGCGUAAGGGACAAUCAAAUGAACAUGAUACGUAGAAGGAAAACAAUUUAAUAACAGGUUGCCAAGAAUCAGAUAAUAAUUCAUGUCAGAUAACAAAAGCAUUCUUUAGUCAGUCGUGUGGCAUUAACCCCAAUAUUGUUUCAGAAGCCUGGCAACUGUAAAAAGGUAAUAAGGAGGGUGGAAAACCUAACAAAAAUAGUCAUUUGGAAGGUUCUGCUCAGGCAAAAUAGGUGUAUGAAUUUCAAGAGAAGCUAAAAGGAUUUCUGUUGCGAUAGGGGGCAUGUGGGUGGUGUGUAAUGUGUCUCUAAAUUGCCACCAAUUUUAUACCUAAAAUGGACCAGGUGAGACAUUUGUAGAAAUUUCUAGAAAGUUAACCUAAUAUUUAUAAGGUUCAUGAAAAUUUUGACAGGGAGCAUAAAUGUUUCACAUCUCCCUACCAUGCAAAUCGACUAUGGCUAAAGUGACCCAUAAUUUGUUGGGAGGAAGGAUUUGGAAAUGGGUGAAUGGAGCACCAUCACCAAUUUUCCCCUCACCAACACCGACAGGUUGCCUGUAGUAACACCUCCAGGCAGGCAGGCAGAACGUUCAAAUAGAAAAAAGAAGAUUGGGAAGGGAGGGAGGACUGAGAAGGCAGGCAAGUUCACAGUACCCAUUUGACACCCACAAUGUUCUGGCAAAGCGAAAGAGAGGCUCAGUUCGUCCUGGUCAGCAACUUCUGCCUGGUACAUCUUUUUAAAUAUUGCCUUCCCCUAUAGCCUGAGCCAUUGCCAUCAUUUUCUUUAGCUGCCACACUUCAGGUCAAGAUUUCUUCACUUCCUGCUUGUUUCCUCUGGCUGCGCCAUAGAGAUUCCCCCCCCCCUUUCCUUUAAUAAGGAAAAUCUUAAGAAGGCAUCAGGCCAAGAACUCCCACAAGACAAUCAGGAAUUCAGAACAUUUAUUGCAAGAGCUGAAUAACUGUAAAUAACGUUGAACUGGCAAAGCAGUAACAAGGAUAACUGUUUAGAUAUUUAUUCGGUCAAAGUCAUCAAACACCCCUCACAAACUGACAUAAGUACUGCAAUAAGCAAUGCACCCCUAACCCAUUUUAUGCUUGUAUAUUGUGGAGGAAAGAAAAUGUGAACUGCUAUAUACAAAAUAACUUCAGUUAGUUUUGGUAAGAACAAAUUAACCAUCAAUAUUAGCUACCUUUAUUUUUCUGUGUGUUUAUUUUAAGACUGAUGUUUAACUGUGGAAUAAGAUAAAUUUUUCUUUUGUACUUUAAGGACUCCCCCCCGCCCAUGUUGCAUGCUAUUUGUUUAAAUUGUCUGUCAUGCCUUAAGAAAAAAACGCCUAAGAAUGUUCAGAUUAGGAUUUAUUAGACGUGCAACUGAGAUCUUAUUAACAUUAGGAGUCACUUUGCUGGUUUGAUUCAAGUGACGCAACACUGGUACCUGCCAGGCAUUGACCAACUAUGGUAACAAACAGUUAAACAGCAAGAAUUAGAGAUUGAACCCUUUCAUUUCCCCCAACUAGCCUACCAGGAGAAUGCUUGGUUACAUCAUGAAGGCACGACACAUUAAAUAUUUUGUGGCUAUGAUCUAAAAACACUUGUGUUACUACAACAUCAAUGCAGAUGAAGAUCAACACAACCGCUGCCAUUUGAGCAAUACAAACUGUCUUAGGUAUAGACACACACAGCCCAAUUGUUUUAAAAAAGCAAUGGUUAGAUAUGGAUUUACUGGGUACAAAAUAACUCAAGAAGUGUUCCCGCACAAGCGCCAUUGAUAUGAAUGGGCACUUAGGCAUCUCCCAUUCAGUUCGCUGGGGCUCAUAUUUUGGAACCACUCAGCAGAUUGUUCCCCUUAUCCUCCACCUAAUUUUGACUAAUAUCACUCUCUAGCGUGAUUGCAGCCAAUGUCCAUUCAGCUGCUAUCAUGGUUAGUGUUUUCUUUUUCUCCCCUUUGCUUUGCAAAUCAGAAAAACAACAAAAAGAAUAGUGGCUAAAAUCUCAAAGCCCUUACUUCAAGUGUUAUUUCGGAAUUGGCAAAUAGUUUGUUGGCAAUUUUUUGUCAUAAUAAUAGUAAAAUAAAAUGUUUCCCUCCCCUCCCUCUUUUCCUCAGUUUUUAACACAAGUGUUUUGAGCUCCUUGGAACAUUGUGUGUCAGACAGACUACUAACACAGAAACACCAUCACCAAAAGAAACAAAAUAAUAAUAAAAAAACAACAGGAAGCAAAUGAAAUAAAGUAGGAAAAAAGCAACUGUGGAACACAGAAUUAUGCUACAGUAUUUUUUUUAGGUGACCGUUAUAAGUACACAAAAGUUAUUAAUAAUAAUUGAUUCUAUUUACAAGUACUUGAACACUGAUUGACUUAACAAGUGUCCACUAACGUUGUUAAUAGCACAGUAGGUUUAAUGUUUGCAAUUUUUAGUUGUUUUGUUUCAGUAAAGAUGUCAAGUAUAGCAGUCCCAGCACAAGAUCAAUGGUAACAAUAACACAAUUUCCUAAUUGGAUAUGCUUUCUAAGAAUUGCAAUCCACCGUCUCUCUCACACACAUACUCUCUCUCUCUCUCUCUCUCUCCAUGUGAAUCUUCUACUGUUUGCAGCAGCAAGUCCAGGGUCAAAAAAACAAAGUAACAUAAACAAACCCCCACCCAUUAUCCCAAGCAAAUUGAAAAAAUUAAGAUAUUUUGCAAACUGGAGAGAUUCUCUGUAAGAGUUUGAUUAUUUCUAUUUAACAAAACCACACAACUAGUAGAAAUGCUAUUUUGUGUUGCAGUUCCAUGGAGCUACCACAAAGUUAUGCAUAUCUCUGCUAUGUGACGCAUAGUUCUAGAGGUCUACUCAGUACAUAAAGCUCUGACACACACACACACACACACACACACACACACACACAGAGUAUUAGCAAGUCUAACUAGGCUAAAGUCACUGUUCCAAAGAAGCCUUUCCUUAUAGCUGGUUCUCCUUCGGACUCUCCACUGGUCCUGAUGCUUGUUUAUAGGAUUUCAAGUUAGCCAAAGGAAUGUCAGCCAUGGGAUUGCCAGGGUUGAAAUGGCCUUCCCCCGAGCCAAACUGCUUUCGUUCACUGAACUGGUUUCUGUUGCUGUCUUCUUUCCAGGUUCUGGUCAACGUGUGGCCAUUCACCAGUUUGUCUUUCUUAACCCAUUCCUUCUGAGGUGCAAAGGUGGAGAGUGGAGACUUUGGCUGCUGGUACGAACCCAAAGAGGGAGGCAUCCAACAGUUGUCUGAGUGACCCAGGACCAGGCAUUCUUGAGUGCACAUCUCAGUAGCUUCAGCUAAUCCUCGAGGGCCAAGAGGUCCAUCUGUGAUUUUAUUCUUCGGUCACAUACGAAACGUCAACAUUUGGAGAUGGAGAUGGUCCAAAUACAACACACAGGCAGCCAAAGCAGCAGAUUCUCUCCCCGGGAGAAUAUGGUUAUUUAGACAGACUUUAUAGCUCAAAAAGAACAGAUACCAGCACAUCUUUGUAAAUCCGUACCUUCUCUUUCACGGCGUGGACCUCAUCCAUCUUUUUAACUGCUGAAGCUACUGCUGAGGAGAACAUUACCACAACUAAUUCUGUCUUUUCCAAAUUAGCAUUUUUGUCGCAUUCCCCAUCUUUUCCAAAUAAAUUUUUAAAAAAUUUAUGCAAGGGAUUGAAAUGAACCUUCUGCAUUUGACAUAUUUGCUAAUAAAAGCAGAGCACCCACAGCAUUGGAUUAAUAUCCACUUUAUUAACACAUAUUUUCUGUUAUUUAGUUGAGAUGUUUUAGCCAGCUGCUAGGGAAAUGAAAUGAAUAGAAAUUUAUUGAGUUUGCUUAUGCUUUUUUUGCUGAGAGAAAUGCAGAAUAUUCUAGACUAAACACUCAGAACUAUUUGGUCAUCCAGUAGAUGUACUGAAUAUUUCUGAAUGCUGCAGAUGGAAGUUGUGCCGUGCUUCCUUAACUGACUGGAAAAGCUAAGGGGGCAGGUUGGUGGAUCCCUGUUCACUCUCUAGAACAGGUGUAGGCAACCUAAGGCCUGGGGGCCGGAUGGGGCCCAAUCGUCUUCUCAAUCCAUGGAGAAAGAGAUCCAACACUUUCUAGGCCCCUAAGAUAAGCAUAUUGUUAGUCUGUUCCCCCACAUCUCGGAAUCAUUCUUUAAGGCAGGGUUGGCUAAUCCCUGGUCCAGCCAGAUGAUUUUUCUUGGCCUUCAGAGACCCCAACUAUUUGGUUGCAGCAUAAAAUAUCCCCGCCCCCCACCAACUACGUUGGGUACUCUGCUGUUAUAUGCUGGGCUGCAUAGGUUUCUGCUUCAAGGGAGUGGGAUGGAGAGAGGAUUUAAGUCAUGGGAAAUUGUUCUGUGAUUGCCAACUGGGCUCAUAGGUUUAAAUCACACUCUCUUCUUGUUGUCGUUGUGCUCUCUCUCUCUCUCUCUCUCUCUCUCUCUCUCU